Molecule: ribosomal RNA, 400 nt
Filed under: phytoplankton environmental sample
Lineage: Eukaryota
Description: partial small subunit ribosomal RNA
Rfam family: Eukaryotic small subunit ribosomal RNA
Source: RNAcentral
AGCUCCAAUAGCGUAUAUUAAAGUUGUUGCAGUUAAAAAGCUCGUAGUUGGAUUUCAGGGCUCGCGCGCUGGUCACCCUGCGGGGUCGCACCGGUGUCGGGGUUCUUUUGUCGUUCGUGCAUUGUCGCACUUUAGUGUGUGGCGAUGUGUGGUCGACCGUUUACUUUGAGCAAAUUAGAGUGUUCAAGGCAGGCUUUUGGCUUGAAUACCCUAGCAUGGAAUAAUGAGAUAGGACUUUGGUUCUAUUUUGUUGGUUCAUGGGACUAAAGUAAUGAUUAAGAGGAACGGUUGGGGGCAUUAGUAUUUCGUUGUCAGAGGUGAAAUUCUUGGAUUUACGAAAGACUAACCUAGGCGAAAGCAUUUGCCAUGGACGUUUUCAUUAAUCAAGAACGAAAGUACG